This 113-nucleotide ribosomal RNA is filed under the name Periophthalmus magnuspinnatus. Lineage: Eukaryota; Metazoa; Chordata; Actinopteri; Gobiiformes; Gobiidae. The record is from RNAcentral.
AUAUGUGGCCAAACUUUCAUGUCAAAACUUGAUCUUGAUCUCUGAAGCUAAGCAGGACUGGGCCUGGUUAGUAUUUGGAUGGGAGACCACUGUGUAUAUGAGAUGCCACAGUG